AACGCUGGCGGCGUGCUUAACACAUGCAAGUCGAACGGAGUUAAAGAUUUCGGUUUUUAACUUAGUGGCGAACGGGUGAGUAACGCGUGAGGAACCUGCCUCUCAGUGGGGGACAACAGUUGGAAAUGACUGCUAAUACCGCAUAAAACCGUAGUACCGCAUGGUACAUCGGUCAAAGAUUUAUUGCUGAGAGAUGGCCUCGCGUCUGAUUAGCUAGUUGGUGGGGUAACGGCUCACCAAGGCGACGAUCAGUAGCCGGUCUGAGAGGAUGAACGGCCACAUUGGGACUGAGACACGGCCCAGACUCCUACGGGAGGCAGCAGUGGGGAAUCUUCCGCAAUGGACGAAAGUCUGACGGAGCAAUGCCGCGUGAGUGAUGAAGGUUUUCGGACCGUAAAGCUCUUUUGUUUAUGACGAAUGUGCAUUAUGUGAAUAAUGUAGUGUAAUGACGGUAGUAAACGAAUAAGCCACGGCUAACUACGUG
Molecule: ribosomal RNA, 484 nt
Filed under: uncultured bacterium
Lineage: Bacteria
Description: bacterial SSU rRNA
Rfam family: Bacterial small subunit ribosomal RNA
Source: RNAcentral